CAGCACCUCAAGUGGUCAGGAGGAUUAUUGGGCCUAAAGCAUCCGUAGCCGGCUCUGUUAGUUUUCGGUUAAAUCUAUACGCUCAACGUAUGGGCUGCCGGGAAUACUGCAAAGCUAGGAAGUGGGAGAGGUAGACGGUACUCCGUAGGAAGGGGUAAAAUCCUUUGAUCUAUGGAUGACCACCUGUGGCGAAGGCGGUCUACCAGAACACGUUCGACGGUGAGGGAUGAAAGCUGGGGGAGCAAACCGGAUUAGAUACCCGAGUAGUCC
This 270-nucleotide ribosomal RNA is filed under the name uncultured archaeon. Its description in RNAcentral is "partial 16S ribosomal RNA". It matches the Rfam family "Archaeal small subunit ribosomal RNA", at positions 477 to 747 of the family's 1478-position model. The record is from RNAcentral.